RNAcentral lists this ribosomal RNA (511 nucleotides) under uncultured bacterium. RNAcentral's name for it is "bacterial SSU rRNA". It matches the Rfam family "Bacterial small subunit ribosomal RNA", at positions 17 to 518 of the family's 1533-position model. The record is from RNAcentral.
UCCUGGCUCAGGAUGAACGCUAGCUACAGGCUUAACACAUGCAAGUCGAGGGGCAGCAUAUCGAAAGCUUGCUUUGAUGAUGGCGACCGGCGCACGGGUGAGUAACGCGUAUCCAACCUUCCCUAUACUAGAGGAUAGCCCGGCGAAAGUCGGAUUAAUACUCUAUGUUGUAUUUCGAGGACAUCUGAAUAAUACCAAAGGUUUACCGGUAUAGGAUGGGGAUGCGUCUGAUUAGGUUGUUGGCGGGGUAACGGCCCACCAAGCCCACGAUCAGUAGGGGUUCUGAGAGGAAGGUCCCCCACAUUGGAACUGAGACACGGUCCAAACUCCUACGGGAGGCAGCAGUGAGGAAUAUUGGUCAAUGGACGAGAGUCUGAACCAGCCAAGUAGCGUGCAGGAUGACGGCCCUAUGGGUUGUAAACUGCUUUUAUACAGGGAUAAAGUUCACUACGUGUAGUGUUUUGUAGGUACUGUAUGAAUAAGGACCGGCUAAUUCCGUGCCAGCCGCGGC